UUAUGUAAAGAGAAUACUUAUAUUCUUUCAGCUUAUAUAUAUAAUUGCUAUUACUUGUUGGGCACUCAAAUGCUCAUCCUUGCUUAAAUUAAAUGUUUUCAGUUAUGUAUGAGCAACCUGAAGGCUCAGGCACGAACAAAGGAAAAGGAAAGCUGAUCGAAUAAGUGUGUAUUAUGAGUUAAUGGUUAUAGCUGUAUGGAUAUCUAUUCAAGUAUUGUAAGGGAUGUAAUUGAAGGUCUCGUACCUGGGAAGUAAACUUUGAUGUAUGUAAAUUAAGUUCGAAUGUAAUAUUACUAUUGUAUUAUUCAGCUUAUAGAAAUGGUAUCGUGAAGCACUGAGUUCGGGUUUCAAGUAUCCGGAUUUGGGGGCGUCACAUUAUCUGUCGCUAAAAAUGGCUUUAGUGACAAAACUGUCGCUAAUUGUGUUCUUCAGCAAACCCAGAUCUUCAAUGUCAGUACACAAGGUACCUACUUUGACCGGUUAUAAAUCUUUUGUUAUCAGGAUUCUGGGCUUGCUAAUGUGUUGGUAUUGUAGUAUAACUGUAAUAUUACCACUAACAGUCGAUAUCAUGAACAUAACACAAACGAUCAGAGAGUU
This 597-nucleotide long non-coding RNA is filed under the name Panax ginseng (ginseng). RNAcentral's name for it is "long non-coding RNA (PGIN_LNC004227)". The record is from RNAcentral. Lineage: Eukaryota; Viridiplantae; Streptophyta; Magnoliopsida; Apiales; Araliaceae.